Molecule: ribosomal RNA, 406 nt
Filed under: uncultured bacterium
Lineage: Bacteria
Description: partial 16S ribosomal RNA
Rfam family: Bacterial small subunit ribosomal RNA
Source: RNAcentral
AUUGAACGCUGGCGGCAGGCCUAACACAUGCAAGUCGAACGAGUGGCGGACGGGUGAGUAAUGUCUGGGAAACUGCCCGAUGGAGGGGGAUAACUACUGGAAACGGUAGCUACUACCGCAUACCAUCGGAUGUGCCCAGAUUGGAUUAGCUAGUAGGUGGGGUAACGGCUCACCUAGGCGACGAUCCCUAGCUGGUCUGAGAGGAUGACCAGCCACACUGGAACUGAGACACGGUCCAGACUCCUACGGGAGGCAGCAGUGGGGAAUAUUGCACAAUGGGCGAAAGCCUGAUGCAGCCAUGCCGCGUGUAUGAAGAAGGCCUUCGGGUUGUAAAGUACUUUCAGCGAGGAGGCGGUACUCGAAGAAGAAGCAUCGGCUAACUACGUGCCAGCAGCCGCGGUAAUUC